This 200-nucleotide non-coding RNA is filed under the name Methylobacterium platani. The record is from RNAcentral. Lineage: Bacteria; Pseudomonadati; Pseudomonadota; Alphaproteobacteria; Hyphomicrobiales; Methylobacteriaceae.
UGGGAGGACGAGGGUGACGGUUCCCUUUCGGGGGACGAGAAAGGGAAUGCGGUGAGGCGCGAGCCGAAUCCGCGGCUGCCCCCGCAACUGUGAGCGGCGAGCCUUCCACCACCUUACGUCACUGGGUGCCUCACACCUGGGAAGACGGUGGCAGGCACUGACCCGCGAGCCAGGAGACCUGCCGUCAGCCGUGGUCACAC